RNAcentral lists this microRNA precursor (98 nucleotides) under Canis lupus familiaris (dog). RNAcentral's name for it is "mir-544 microRNA precursor family". It matches the Rfam family "mir-544 microRNA precursor family". RNAcentral also lists the same sequence under 3 other names. The record is from Rfam by way of RNAcentral. Lineage: Eukaryota; Metazoa; Chordata; Mammalia; Carnivora; Canidae.
AUCACCUGGGAAUCUUGUUAAAAUGCAGAUGCUGAUGCAGAAGGUCUGGGGAGGACCUGAUAUUUUUGCAUUUCUAACAAGCUCCCAGGUGAUGCCUA